AACGUAGCGAAAGUUACGCUAAUACCGCAUAUUCUGUGAGCAGGAAAGCAGGGGACCGCAAGGCCUUGCGCUCUUUGAGCGGCCGAUGUCAGAUUAGCUAGUUGGUGAGGUAAAGGCUUACCAAGGCGACGAUCUGUAGCGGGUCUGAGAGGAUGAUCCGCCACACUGGAACUGAGACACGGUCCAGACUCCUACGGGAGGCAGCAGUGGGGAAUUUUGGACAAUGGGCGCAAGCCUGAUCCAGCCAUGCCGCGUGAGUGAAGAAGGCCUUCGGGUUGUAAAGCUCUUUCGGCCGGGAAGAAAUCGCAUGGGUUAAUACCCUGUGUGGAUGACGGUACCGGAAUAAGAAGCACCGGCUAACUACGUG
Molecule: ribosomal RNA, 367 nt
Filed under: uncultured bacterium
Lineage: Bacteria
Description: bacterial SSU rRNA
Rfam family: Bacterial small subunit ribosomal RNA
Source: RNAcentral